GAUGAACGCUGGCGGCGUGCCUAAUACAUGCAAGUCGAGCGAACAGAUAAGGAGCUUGCUCCUAUGACGUUAGCGGCGGACGGGUGAGUAACGCGUGGAUAACCUACCUAUAAGACUGGGAUAACUUCGGGAAACCGGAGCUAAUACCGGAUAACAUAUUGAACCGCAUGGUUCAAUAGUGAAAGGCGGCUUUGCUGUCACUUAUAGAUGGAUCCGCGCCGUAUUAGCUAGUUGGUAAGGUAACGGCUUACCAAGGCAACGAUACGUAGCCGACCUGAGAGGGUGAUCGGCCACACUGGAACUGAGACACGGUCCAGACUCCUACGGGAGGCAGCAGUAGGGAAUCUUCCGCAAUGGGCGAAAGCCUGACGGAGCAACGCCGCGUGAGUGAUGAAGGUCUUCGGAUCGUAAAACUCUGUUAUCAGGGAAGAACAAAUGUGUAAGUAACUGUGCACAUCUUGACGGUACCUGAUCAGAAAGCCACGGCUAACUACGUG
RNAcentral lists this ribosomal RNA (497 nucleotides) under uncultured bacterium. RNAcentral's name for it is "partial 16S ribosomal RNA". It matches the Rfam family "Bacterial small subunit ribosomal RNA", at positions 28 to 507 of the family's 1533-position model. The record is from RNAcentral.